Molecule: transfer RNA, 68 nt
Filed under: Levilactobacillus brevis
Lineage: Bacteria; Bacillati; Bacillota; Bacilli; Lactobacillales; Lactobacillaceae
Description: Lactobacillus brevis tRNA-Ile
Rfam family: tRNA
About the family: Transfer RNA (tRNA) molecules are approximately 80 nucleotides in length.
Source: RNAcentral
CAUAAGAUGAGAGUUUGAUCNCACGCCUGAUAAGCGUGAGGUCGAUGGUUCGAGUCCAUUUAUGCCCA